Podarcis lilfordi (Lilford's wall lizard) is the source of this 4722-nucleotide non-coding RNA. The record is from the annotation of a GenBank genome assembly. NCBI's taxonomy places the organism in Eukaryota, Metazoa, Chordata, Lepidosauria, Squamata, Lacertidae.
GGUUGGGGAAGGCUAUGCGAGGAUGUGCAUGAUGUCGAUAAAGUGAACAGGGAGCAGUUUUUUUCUGCCUCAUAACAAUGGAACUCAGGAAACACCCAACACAACCGAAAGAUUCAGGGCAGACAAAAAUAAGGACUUUACAAACAGCGCAUAGUUAAACUGUAGGAUUUGCUCCCAAAAGAGGCAGUGAUGACCACCAACUUGGAUGACUCUAAAAGAGUAGACAGAUUCAUGGAGGAUAAGGCUACUAACCCUGAUGGCUAUGUUCUGCCUACACAGUUGGAUGCAGUAUGCUUCUGAAUGCUGGUUGCUGGAAACUGCAGGGGGUGUGUGUGCUAUUAUGCUCAGGUCCUGCUUGUAGGCAUCCCGUGCACAACUGCUUGGCCACUGUGAGAACAGAAUGCUGGACUAGAUGGGUCCCCCAACUGGGAGUGGGGGCUAGAUCUAACAGCUGGUCUUCAAGGAGGGAUUUGAAAAGGCUAAGAGGGCCUCCUGAGAAUUCUAAGAGGGCAUUCUGGGAAUGUGUUCUGGGCAUGAGGUCCAGGAAGGGAGGAAGAAUGGAAGAGCAGAAGAAAUUUUGAUGGUUGAGGAGGUGGAGUUUGAGUCAGAAAAGUGAAGGUCAUGGGCAUGUUUGCACAGCUACAAGCUCUCAUCUAGUUUUCCUGCUGCGGUGUGCAACCAGGAAUCCUAGGCAAGGCCAUUGUGGUGCCUUACUGUUGGACCCAUGUAUCCAGUCUGGUUUUGGUAACCUCCACCUCGCUCUGGAUGCUCACAGUUUUUCCUUCUGGGGGUGCUCUGAAACCUUUCAUAUUUUGGCAAAAGGAAAAAGUGCUUCAGGAGGGGAACGAGGCAGCUCCCUCUGUUCUUUUGGGAAGCACAACUUUUCUCAAUGCGGUGCCCUUCAGAUGUUUUGGACUAGAACUCCCAUAAACUCCAGUCAGGACUAACGGGGGUUGAUGGGAGUCGUAGUCCAAAACAUCUAAAGGGCACCACGUUGGCGAAAGCUGCUGUAGUCCCCUGCCGCCGCUGGGAUCUGGGAAUCCACCCUGAGCUGACGCAGAAUUCCCUUUCAGUCUCCUGUCCUGCCUCUCAACCUGCUGUCAUGUGAAAAAGAGACACACAGAGAGAAAGACAAUGUCCACAGCCAAACCUGCCUCUUUUUCCAGCCUUGUGCACAAAUUGGACAGGGUGUGUGUGUGUCUGCCACAAGAAUAGUUGUAAGCAGGAGUUCCAUUAAUUAUGAAUGGGCAACAAGAGAUUCCCUGUUGUUUGUAAAUUAGCUGCUGCUUUCCUUCUCCCCCUCCUUUCUUCCUUUUUCUAAAUUUAUGUUUCUUAGAAAUGAGUUUGCUCAGAGGGUGGGGAGCGUAGGAAUGGAGGAAGCUGCCUGCUGAAAAUGCAGAGCUGACUGAAAUACCCCUCAGGACCAAUUGAAAGUUUUUUUCUUUUAUUUUUUAAGAACAUGGUACCGUAACUUUAGGAUGCAUGUAAGGGGAAUGGAGGUUUGACUGCUCCCUCUCUCCCUCCCCUGGCCAGAAUCUCCUUGUCUAUGGAAAACUAGGGUUUUAUCCGACACUCAGAGCAGACCCAUUGGCAUUCAUUAUUCAUUUUAAGGGGGCUGUUCUGAGUAGGACUAACAUUGGAUAUAUCUCUAUUGGAAGACACUGCUUGAGCAUCAGAUGAUUAGUUUGUCUAAUAUUGUCUACUGGCUGUAGCUCUCCAGGGUUUUCCGACAAGAUCUUUCCCAGCCUUCUUGGAGAUGUCUAGGAUUGAACCUGUGAUUUUCUGAAUGCAGAGUAGUUGCUCUGCCACCAAGAAAGCUGACUAAUAAGUUAAGAGACCAUUGGCCCAUCUAGCUGACCGGCUGUGGUUCUCCAGGAUUUUGGGCAGAAAUCUUUUCCCACCCCUACCUGGAGAUGCGACUGGGAACUGAACCGAGGACCUUCUACAAAGCUCUAUUACGGUGCGUCUGUAUACAUUACAAGAAACAUCACAGUUUGCAUUGUGUCAUCUUGGGAAAGGGUUUUGCUUCUGAGAAACAUCUGACUGGCCACCAUUGGGAACCAGGUACAGUACCAGGCAAGUCCCUGGUCUGAUCCAGUGAGAAUGUCCUCAUGUUCGCCUCUGACCAGUCUGGCACUUUUUGUUCCUGACCGUCCACAAAUUUGCUUUAAGCGCCGCCAUCAGUGCUCCUCCUUUAAGCAAAACAUAUUGAGGUUGUUUAAGUGGGGAUGUGCUAAUUUGAAUCCCUGGCUGCUCGAAGUGGUUGUUUUUCAAGCCCUUCUUAAUGGGAGAAGAAAGCCGUCAAAAAUAAUGGGAGUCAUUCCAGGCCUUCUGCGAGUGGCACUGGAGAGAGUACAUGGGAGAAGGGAGGGCUGCUGCUGGUGCCAGUGGUGCUGGUGGUGGAAUAAUUCACUUUCUAGAUCUGAGGUCAUCCUGCGAAACUGAUAUACAGUGGCCUGAAGCGAAGCAGAAGGGAGCAUAAACAGCAGAGUCCUGUGGCACCUUAAAGACUAACACAUUGAUUGUGGCAUUGAGCUUUGGUAGCUUAGACACUGUUUCAUCAGAUGGAUGAACUGUCAAAGGGGAGUUGGUAGGUUUACAUUAAAAAAGUAUCUAUUCUCUCCAGAUCAGAGGUGAAUUGUGCUGGGGUUAUGGGGCGGGGUGUCAAAAAUCCAUGACUAUUUCUGCAAUAGGAUCCCAGCAGGGUUCCUGUUCCCAAGAGUCCUAGCGCCGUCCAAUAUGAAAGGGCUUCUUUUUUUUCUUUUUCUUUUUAAAGCCACAUAAGUCUUCUCACUCUUUGUGAUGAUUGUAGCCGCUGAGGAUUGGCUCCUAGGGUCACUUUGGAUAAAGCAUGCAGAGAAAAACACCAAAAAGGUGUUGUUCCAUGCCCUCCAAAGCUAAGAAUUUAGGAACACUGAAAACACAAGGUACUUCAGUUUCAAGAGAAUGGAGUGCAAGUUCUGUUAGGUACAGUGGAACUUAAAGGAAGACACAACUUAAGUAUGAUAAAAUGCACUGAGUAGCGUAUGAUAAAGUGCACUGAAAUAUGUUUAUAUUGAGAUAAAGUAUGUUCUUAAAUAAAUAAUAAAAUGCUAUUUAAAUACAAAUUGCUAUUUAAAUACAAUUUUUCAUGUAGUUUGGUGGGGGUUUUUUGGACAGAUUACUGUAGAAACAGGUUGGAAGGGACUUAUGAAGGAACAUGUGUGAAAUUGGCAUGGGCCCCAAAAUAUAUCGAUCCAGAAAUAGAGGCCUCCAUCAGCAGUGUCACACCAUUUUAAAUAGUCAAGGUUUCCCCCAAAGAAUAAUGGAAACUGUAGUUUGUUAAGGGUACUGAGAUUUCUUAAGAGACCCCCCAAUUCCCAGAGUCCCCUGAAUAGAGGGAUUGACUCUUAAACCACUCCUGGGGCAGAUUAAUAAGAGUCCAGCCGCCCUAGCCAUUUUUCCUCUCUCUCCUCAUUCGAUGCCCUUUUAGCUCUGUCAUCUUUACAAAAAUAUUCCAGCAUAGGGUUUUUGUUUAUUUAUUUUUGGGGGAAGGUAGCAAAUUUUGGAACUAGAAUGGAGCACAUCAAUGACAUGCCUUAAUUUGUAAGCACAUGAUUCCCCCUCCCCACCACAUUGGCCAUAGCUUCAUGGACAAGGUACCAGGCCACAAAGAGUCAGCCCGACUUGUGUUUUGAAAUCUGAAAGCUGCCAGGAUUUUCAGCCUGGUGAUUAAACUCUCUCUCUCACUCCCCCGGAGAGUGAGGAAGGUAAUAAAUCCACAUUGUGCCAUUGCAGCGAACAGCUUGGGAUAAUUGCAUUGGUGAAAUAAAGCGAGGCGUUGCAUAUUUGGAUGUCCUAACUCCUCUCCCCACCACCACCACCUCCUGAUAUACCCUCCGGGACUUGGAACUCCAUAUUGUUGCUUCCAGACAAACAAGAACCUCAUUGAGAAUUUCUUUCUGCUUUUCUUACACCUAUACAGGAAGAGGGUUGGGAUUGCGUGUGUGUAUCCCGCCGGCCAUUCUCAGUCAUUGGCAUUCAGAAUCAUUUGUCUGCGUUGCUAGAAAGGAUGUGGAAGAUCAUCUAAUCAAGGGCCAACCAGAGGCUGAGCAUUAAGAUUUUUUUGACUCUGGAAGUUAUAUAUUAAAAUAGCACUCCCCCCAUCCCAAAUCAGGUUGUCCUUCUUGUCUGUUGUGUCCCUCUAACCUAGAGCUGAGGCUGAUGGGUUUUAAAUACUCUGCCUUCCCAUUGUGCUUUUCCUUCCUGCCUUUAUUGCUUUUGCCUCCUAGGGCUCCUCCAGACAGUUCUGUUUUUGCAGGUAUCCUGCAUCAUGUCAAUGAUGGUGCAAAAGUGGUGGAUUCAUACUGGACUAUCCACACACCAUUCCGCAUUACCAGUUGUUCUGCAGUGCUUCCCCCCAAGUUUUCCCGUUAUUGUUGUCUGGAAGGGCGCUCUUGCUUUAUAGUGCAACAAAAGUGGGGCAAAACAAACAAACUCCUAAACCUGGAACAUUUGCAUUGUAAAAAGUCGCAGGAUUUUAGCAGGAAGUUACAGGGCAUGUGCUGAUUGGAAACAAAGCAUUAUGCCCACUCGGAAACUUUUUGAAGUAUUUAAAGCAGGAUUGCAUAUAAUUGUCCUGAUACCAUUAUGAACACUGGUCAUGAUGAGUGCAUAAGAAAAAUGAAAUCCUGCUCGACUUCAUUGAGAAUGCUGUGCCUGCCAACCCAGUUAUAAAUUUAC